CGCGGCUACCAUGCAGUCGAGCGGGAGGUUGCUUCGGUAACUGACCUAGCGGCGGACGGGUGACGUAAUACUUAGGAAUCUGCCUAUUAAUGGGGGAYAGACAUCUCGAACGGGAUGCUAAUACCGCAUACGCCCUACGGGGGAAAGCAGGGGAUCACUUGUGACCUUGCGUUAAUAGAUGAGCCUAAGUCGGAUUAGCUAGUUGGUGGGGUAAAGGCCUACCAUAGGCGACGCAUCUGUAGCGGGUCUGAGAGGAUGAUCCGCCACACUGGGACUGAGACACGGCCCAGACUCCUACGGGAGGCAGCCGGGGGGAAUAUUGGACAAUGGGGGGAACCCUGAUCCAGCCAUGCCGCGUGUGUGAAGAAGGCCUUAUGGUUGUAAAGCACUUUAAGCGAGGAGGAGGCUCUUUUGGUUAAUACCCAAGAUGAGUGGACGUUACUCGCAGAAUAAGCACCGGCUAACUCUGUGCCAGCAGCGGCGGUAA
RNAcentral lists this ribosomal RNA (487 nucleotides) under bacterium enrichment culture DGGE band Utube4. RNAcentral describes it as "bacterial SSU rRNA". It matches the Rfam family "Bacterial small subunit ribosomal RNA", at positions 45 to 523 of the family's 1533-position model. The record is from RNAcentral.